GUGAGUCAUCGAAUCUUUGAACGCACAUUGCGCCCAUUGGUAUUCCGAUGGGCAUGCCUGUUCGAGCGUCAUUAUCAACCCUCAAGCCCCUUUGGCUUGGUGUUGGAGACUGGCGGGGCGCAUGCGCCCGGAGCCACUCCCAAAUACAAUGACGGCGGCGACGAUGGCCCCCGGCACACUGAGCUUCUCACCGAGCACGUGCUGGAAGGGUCUUGUGGCCACGGUCUGCCUCCCCUCUGGGAGAAACGGAUUUCAUCCACCAAGGUUGACCUCGGAUCAGGUAGGGAUACCCGCUGAACU
Molecule: unclassified non-coding RNA, 300 nt
Filed under: uncultured Herpotrichiellaceae
Lineage: Eukaryota; Fungi; Ascomycota; Eurotiomycetes; Chaetothyriales; Herpotrichiellaceae
Description: sequence contains 5.8S rRNA gene, ITS2
Rfam family: 5.8S ribosomal RNA (bases 1-71)
Source: RNAcentral